GCAUAUCAAUAAGCGGAGGAAAAGAAACUAACAAGGAUUCCCCUAGUAACGGCGAGUGAAGCGGGAAGAGCUCAAAUUUGAAAGCUGGUACCUUCGGUGCCCGCGUUGUAAUCUCGAGAAGUGUUUUCCGUGCUGGACCAUGUACAAGUUCCUUGGAACAGGACGUCAUAGAGGGUGAAAAUCCCGUACUUGACAUGGACGCCCAGUGCUUUGUGAUACACUCUCCACGAGUCGAGUUGUUUGGGAAUGCAGCUCAAAAUGGGUGGUAAAUUCCAUCUAAAGCUAAAUAUUGGGGAGAGACCGAUAGCGAACAAGUACCGUGAGGGAAAGAUGAAAAGCACUUUGGAAAGAGAGUUAAACAGUACGUGAAAUUGUCGAAAGGGAAGCGCUUGAAGUUAGACAUGCCUAUUAGGAUUCAGCCUUGCUUUUGCUUGGUGUAUUUCCUGGUAAGCAGGCCAGCAUCAGUUUUGUCUGUCGGAUAAGGGUAGAAGGAAUGUGGCCCCUUGGGGUGUUAUAGCCUUUUACUGGAUACGGCGGAUGGGACUGAGGACCGCAGUGCGCCUUUAUGGCGGGCCUUUUGGCACCUUCGCACUUAGGAUGCUGGCGUAAUGGCUUUAAGCGACCCGUCUUGAAACACGGACC
This 642-nucleotide ribosomal RNA is filed under the name Pseudomicrostroma juglandis. Its description in RNAcentral is "eukaryotic LSU rRNA". It matches the Rfam family "Eukaryotic large subunit ribosomal RNA", at positions 38 to 667 of the family's 3401-position model. Lineage: Eukaryota; Fungi; Basidiomycota; Exobasidiomycetes; Microstromatales. The record is from RNAcentral.